RNAcentral lists this ribosomal RNA (465 nucleotides) under uncultured bacterium. RNAcentral describes it as "partial 16S ribosomal RNA". It matches the Rfam family "Bacterial small subunit ribosomal RNA", at positions 338 to 795 of the family's 1533-position model. The record is from RNAcentral.
CCUACGGGUGGCAGCAGUAGGGAAUCUUCCACAAUGGGCGAAAGCCUGAUGGAGCAACGCCGCGUGGGUGAAGAAGGUCUUCGGAUCGUAAAACCCUGUUGUUAGAGAAGAAAGUGCGUGAGAGUAACUGUUCACGUUUCGACGGUAUCUAACCAGAAAGCCACGGCUAACUACGUGCCAGCAGCCGCGGUAAUACGUAGGUGGCAAGCGUUAUCCGGAUUUAUUGGGCGUAAAGGGAACGCAGGCGGUCUUUUAAGUCUGAUGUGAAAGCCUUCGGCUUAACCGGAGUAGUGCAUUGGAAACUGGGAGACGUGAGUGCAGAAGAGGAGAGUGGAACUCCAUGUGUAGCGGUGAAAUGCGUAGAUAUAUGGAAGAACACCAGUGGCGAAGGCGGCUGUCUGGUCUGCAACUGACGCUGAGGCUCGAAAGCAUGGGUAGCGAACAGGAUUAGAUACCCCUGUAGUC